RNAcentral lists this ribosomal RNA (312 nucleotides) under uncultured eukaryote. RNAcentral's name for it is "partial 18S ribosomal RNA". It matches the Rfam family "Eukaryotic small subunit ribosomal RNA", at positions 1470 to 1796 of the family's 1831-position model. The record is from RNAcentral.
CCCUUAGAUGUUCUGGGCCGCACGCGCGCUACACUGAUGCAUUCAACGAGUCUAAAACCUGCUCUGAUAGGGGUGGGUAAUCUUUUGAAUGUGCAUCGUGAUUGGGAUAGAUGAUUGCAAUUUUUCAUCUUCAACGAGGAAUGCCUAGUAAACGCAAGUCAUCAGCUUGCAUUGAUUACGUCCCUGCCCUUUGUACACACCGCCCGUCGCACCUACCGAUUGAAUGGUCCGAUGAAAUCUUUGGACUGAGUCGCCAAGCGAUUCGGAAAAUCGAUUAAGUCUUACCAUUUAGAGGAAGGUGAAGUCGUAACA